Molecule: non-coding RNA, 1268 nt
Organism: Camellia sinensis
Lineage: Eukaryota; Viridiplantae; Streptophyta; Magnoliopsida; Ericales; Theaceae
Source: RefSeq, a predicted model, not a curated record
AAAGCCCAAAAUCUUAUUCGCGCUCAUUUUUCCCCCUUCAACCAAAAAUACCCAAAUCUCAAAUCCCUAAUCUUUUGAACCAAAAAUCUCCAUCUCUCUCUCUCUCUCUCUCUCUCGCGACUGUGAGCAGGGCAAACGAUAGCAUUGAACGACGGCGAGCAGCGGCAGAUAAUGGUGUCGAGCGAUGGCAGCAACAAACGACGGCGUCGAGCGACAAUGUAAUUAACCCUAUUUAUUAUAUACAUUCAAUUGAAGCCACAUUAACCCUAUUUAUUUGAUCAAUACUAUAAUCUCUCUCUCUCUCUCUCUCUCUCUCUCUUUCUCUCUUCCUCUCUGCAUCUCUCUCGACGAUAUCAUCGGUCAAUCCUUUGUGGUAAGUGCUCAUCAUCGAUUCACCUCUGUUUGAUUCAUUUUAUUAUAUUUCUAGAUCCUUCGCAGUAAGGGUUCAUUGAUCGAUUCACCCUAUGAAUGUCAAUCUCUACAUGCUGGCCAUUAAUCCUAACCCUAAGAAUGUUCAUCCUCCUCUUCUGUGGAUCCCACCUCGACCACUUCUUUGAACUCUGCUUCCUCUGGAAUGAUGAAAUGGAGGAUUGGUACAAUGUGUUGAUCACGCUUGCCAAUCAGUUGACUGCUGAUGGAUUUUAUUGUAACUUCAAUGGAAAGCGGUUCAAAUCAUCGGAGGCUGAGGUCGUCAUAUAUAUUUUCUGAGGUCUAUCAUAUAUAUUUUGCUCAAUCAGCGGAGAGCUAUGAGUUGGCAGAAGAAGCCUAUUCACCUCUUCCCAGAUUCGUUGAAUUGCCUACUUGCCCUGUUUGUCUUGUGUGUACUAUUAGGUGCUAUCACAUUCCCUGCCGAUGUUGAACGGUUGAAAGAUCUUGGAGUUUGUGGAGUGAUCACCUUAACUGAGCCAUAUGAGACUUUGUUUCCAACAUCUCUAUAUCAAGCUUAUGGUAUUAAUCAUUUGGUGCUUCCAACAAGAGACUACCUCUUUGCUCCGUCAUUGAGUGAUAUAUGCUAAGCUGUGGACUUCAUUCAUGAUAUUUCCCGAGUAGAAGUUUGCUUCUUGUAGAAUGCAUGCCUAUAAAGAAUGCGACUAACUUUUGUUUUUGUUACCCAUGGAGAAUGAUGAAGAAAUUUUUUGUUUUUGGUUUAUGUUAUUUUGAAUUGUGAACAACAUUAUGUAUUUAAACAUUAUAUAUGUACUAUGGAAUAUUAUGUAGUGGGGUAAUUUUGCUUAUGUAUAGUUAUGAAUGCAAGAAUAUUUUUAUUA